Molecule: ribosomal RNA, 396 nt
Filed under: Triticum aestivum (bread wheat)
Lineage: Eukaryota; Viridiplantae; Streptophyta; Magnoliopsida; Poales; Poaceae
Description: partial small subunit ribosomal RNA
Source: RNAcentral
AUGCCGGAGGUGGAGUCCAGAUCCGAUACGGCGCCUCACCAAGGUCACCGCCGCGCGGUGGUGAUGGCGGCGUCCAGCGCGACUCCGUGCGCCCACGCCCACGAGUGGGGAGUCCCGCCUCGGUUCGGCCAGGCCCGACCAUCUCCUCCUCCGAGCUCCAAGCGUCCAUGGUGGCCUCCUCUUGCUGCCUCUGCUCGGCCGCGCCGCGUGCAGACGACUCUUCCCGCUCGUCAAGGGUCGGCACAGCGAUUGGAGACGAGCAGGAAUGAACCAACAAGCCUAAGAGGAGGAGCAGGAGCUCCAUCAGCAGCAGCUCAUGCUCAUGGACGACCAAGUCUGAAUCGUUGUUGUUACUCUGCUGUCCUGGCUUCAAUUCACGGCAUAGGAGGGAUUUGA